GGUGCAAAUGGUGGGGCACAUGAAAAGUCAUAUAUAAUGUAACUUCAACCAAGAAAUGUUCAUACAUCUCAUUUUGUAAAUAUCUUACCAUUAGACUUUUAAAAUUUAUAUAGGAAUCUUUGCUUGAUUUCCUUCAUAUAUGAGCUCUGCAAGCUGGGGAACAUAGUGCCCUAGUAAAUUACAUGAUUUGAUUUCGAUGAUAAUCGGUAUUUACAUGAUUUGAAUUUGAUACC
Molecule: long non-coding RNA, 233 nt
Filed under: Elaeis guineensis (African oil palm)
Lineage: Eukaryota; Viridiplantae; Streptophyta; Magnoliopsida; Arecales; Arecaceae
Description: long non-coding RNA (EGUI_LNC063182)
Source: RNAcentral